UACGGAGGAUCCAAGCGUUAUCCGGAUUUAUUGGGUUUAAAGGGUGCGUAGGCGGAUUGAUAAGUUAGAGGUGAAAUGUCCGAGCUUAACUCGGGAACUGCCUCUAAUACUGUUGAUCUAGAGAGUAGAUGCGGUAGGCGGAAUGUAUGGUGUAGCGGUGAAAUGCUUAGAGAUCAUACAGAACACCGAUUGCGAAGGCAGCUUACCAAUCUAUAUCUGACGUUGAGGCACGAAAGCGUGGGUAUCGAACAGG
This 253-nucleotide ribosomal RNA is filed under the name uncultured bacterium. Its description in RNAcentral is "partial 16S ribosomal RNA". It matches the Rfam family "Bacterial small subunit ribosomal RNA", at positions 524 to 776 of the family's 1533-position model. The record is from RNAcentral.